Molecule: ribosomal RNA, 592 nt
Filed under: uncultured Frigoribacterium sp.
Lineage: Bacteria; Bacillati; Actinomycetota; Actinomycetes; Micrococcales; Microbacteriaceae
Description: bacterial SSU rRNA
Rfam family: Bacterial small subunit ribosomal RNA
Source: RNAcentral
UGGGGAAUAUUGCACAAUGGGCGAAAGCCUGAUGCAGCAACGCCGCGUGAGGGAUGACGGCCUUCGGGUUGUAAACCUCUUUUAGUAGGGAAGAAGCGAAAGUGACGGUACCUGCAGAAAAAGCACCGGCUAACUACGUGCCAGCAGCCGCGGUAAUACGUAGGGUGCAAGCGUUGUCCGGAAUUAUUGGGCGUAAAGAGCUCGUAGGCGGUUUGUCGCGUCUGCUGUGAAAUCUGGGGGCUCAACCCCCAGCCUGCAGUGGGUACGGGCAGACUAGAGUGCGGUAGGGGAGAUUGGAAUUCCUGGUGUAGCGGUGGAAUGCGCAGAUAUCAGGAGGAACACCGAUGGCGAAGGCAGAUCUCUGGGCCGUAACUGACGCUGAGGAGCGAAAGCAUGGGGAGCGAACAGGAUUAGAUACCCUGGUAGUCCAUGCCGUAAACGUUGGGAACUAGAUGUGGGGGCCAUUCCACGGUCUCCGUGUCGCAGCUAACGCAUUAAGUUCCCCGCCUGGGGAGUACGGCCGCAAGGCUAAAACUCAAAGGAAUUGACGGGGGCCCGCACAAGCGGCGGAGCAUGCGGAUUAAUUCGAUGC